UCCGAGUUGACCCCGGCAGUCUCCUACGAGUUCCCGACAUGACUCGCUGGCAACUAACAACAGGGGUUGCGCUCGUUAUAGGACUUAACCUGACACCUCACGGCACGAGCUGACGACAACCAUGCAGCACCUUGUAAUCUGCCCGAAGGAAAAUCUGUUUCCAGACCUGUCAGACUACAUUUAAGCCCUGGUAAGGUUCCUCGCGUAUCAUCGAAUUAAACCACAUGCUCCACCGCUUGUGCGGGCCCCCGUCAAUUCCUUUGAGUUUCAAACUUGCGUUCGUACUCCCCAGGUGGGAUACUUAUCACUUUCGCUUAGCCACUCAGAUUUGCAUCCGAACAGCUAGUAUCCAUCGUUUACGGCGUGGACUAC
RNAcentral lists this unclassified non-coding RNA (372 nucleotides) under uncultured Flavobacteriaceae bacterium. RNAcentral's name for it is "contains 16S-23S intergenic spacer region". The record is from RNAcentral. Lineage: Bacteria; Pseudomonadati; Bacteroidota; Flavobacteriia; Flavobacteriales; Flavobacteriaceae.